RNAcentral lists this long non-coding RNA (3568 nucleotides) under Homo sapiens (human). Its description in RNAcentral is "non-protein coding lnc-GRIP2-1:12". The record is from RNAcentral. Lineage: Eukaryota; Metazoa; Chordata; Mammalia; Primates; Hominidae.
GCACACCCUCAUGCCGCGCGGCGAACGUUCGUUGCCAGGUGCGGCAGCCCGCCCUGGGCGCCUCCUGCCUGCGGAAGAAGAGCAGGACAGACCCGACCCGACCCGCCUAGUCCUUUCCUUCACAGCAGCCUCCAAACUCCACCGCUCGCCUCUUCCGCCAGGCUCCUAGGAUGAGGCCCAGGGCUCCUGGAGCAGCCAGGUGCAAACCAGACCGGGCUCGCACUCCACUGCGUUGCCCUGGGCGAUCGUCCACGUUCUGGGAGACUCGGUAUGCCCCGGGAGGGUGGCCUGAGCUUGUGGUGUGAAGCCAGGUACAGAGCUCCAGAAUCCUGGCCUUGCCAUGGCUGUGUGACCCUGGGCAAGUGACUCAAUUUCUCUGCCUCAGUGUCCUCAUCUAUAAAAUGGAAAGGAAAAUAGUAGCGCUUGUCUCCUCCGGCUGUUAUGAAGAUCCAAGGUUAACAGCGUAGAGAACUCGGAACGCACCCGGCAUCUAGGAAGUGCCAAGCCAGUGUCAGCUAAUGUGACUAUUUUUAAAUGGAGAUGGGGAGUGUGCCAUUAUUCUUGUCCUUAUUUGAAUGAACGGGCCCUCAGGGACCAUUUUCCACUGCCCCGCCCUGGCAGCAUGAGAGGGAAACGCUGUGAGAACCCCGAACCCCAGCCUUCUCCUGUCCCUCUCUCUCUCUCUCUCUCUCUGCACCUGGGAGGCGGGGAGGAGAGAGCCGAUCCUUCCACCAUUUACACGGAGAAUGAAAGAAGAAAUACCGGCCAGGCGCGGUGGCUCAUGCCUGUAAUCCCAGCACUUUGGGAGGCCGAGGGGGCAGAUCACCUGAGGUCAGGAGUUCGAGACCAGCCUGGCCAACAUGGCGAAACUCCGUCUCUACUAAAAGUACAAAAAUUAGCCUGGCGUGGUGCCGGGUGCCUAUAAUCCCAGCUACUCAGGAGGCUGAGGCAGGAGAAUCCCUUGAACCCGGGAGGCGGAGGUUGCAGUGAGCCGAGAUCACGCCACUGCACUCCAGCCUGGGUGACAAGAAUGAGUCUCAAAAAAACAAAAAAGAAGAAGAAGAAGAAAUACCACACAGGUCCGACCAAGAGCUGCCCCCACUCAGGCCAGGAUCCCUGCCUGGAAGGGCUCUGCAGCCACUCUCCCUGUACAGCCCCAGGAUGCUAAGGAGCAUCCCGAAGUGACACUGGCUCUCCCUGGAGGCCCCUGCCAUCGGACUCCAACCUGACCUUCCAGUGGGUGCUCCUCAUACUGGCUCCAGCCAAGACAGACGAGGACCACUGGGCACAUGCCCUUCCUUGCCUUCCUGUCACCCUUCCCACCCUUCUCUGCGGGCCCCGGGUGGCCCCUUCCUCCAGGAAGCACCUGGGGAUCAGCAGUGCCUCUAGGGUCCCAGUGGCCCACGUGACAUCUGCUUCUGGCCACCUGAGCACUCUCCUUUGAGUUCAGGGUCACUGUACCCUUUUAUAGAAAUUCGCCGGGUAUGGUGGUGCAUGCCUAUGGUCCCAGCUACUCAGGAGGCUGAGGCAGGAGGAUCACUUGAGCCCGGGAGGUGAAGGCUGCGGUAAGCUAUGACUACACCACUGCACUCCAGCCUAGGUGCGAGAGCAAGACCCUGUCUCCAAACAACAACAACAACAACAAAAUCUGAAUGCCUGGUUUAUCUUGAAAUAUGGCAAAAUGGGGCCACCCAGGCCCAUUAACCCCCUGUCUACAAUGUCCUGGAGCUGAGGGGCAUUAGCCACCCUCUCACAUGGGCUCCCCAGGGUGCCACAGCUCCCUCCUAGCUAGUUUGCUCUUUUCUGUCACCUACCGGCCCUUGCAGGGAGCUGAAUUUGAGACCCAUGAUGCACUUUGUGCACCCUGCCCCCUCAAAGAUAACUGUGAGUACCAAGGGAAAUGGAAAGCUUUGGCAACAAGAAGGGAGCUUCAAGGAAAGCCAGGCCGAGGUUCCCCUCAGAACCAUAGACUAGCCUGAAAUUCCACUGGGACUAAUUCUUCUCAUUUCAAGAAUGAAAAUCGAUUGCUGGACAGAGCUCCCGGAGGGCCAAUUUUCAGGCUGUAGUCUACAGCCGUCCACGUAGAGGCAGUGAACGAAAUUUUUCAAAGCCUACUUUAUGAUUACUUUCUUUAGCAGCUCUCAACAGUAAAAUAAAAUUGAUCUAGGACUUUGAACAAAACUUCUCGCCCCUUUCUAGGGAAGAGUUUGUCUCGUCUAUCAGGCCACCAACAAGAGUUGUUGCAAUGCCUGUGGGAGGUGCAGCCCACGCUGGGCCACCUGGCCAGCUCAGGGAUCCUGCUGGAGAUCGAGGAUUGUCUGGUCGGCCUCUUACAACUCUCAGAACAUCAUCCCUGGGAGCAGCCCUGAAGAGACCAAGGAAUGGAAAAACAGAUGGAAGGACUGCAACUCACAGGUGAAAAGGAACCGGCUACGAGAGGCUCCAAACCAAGGGAGCAGCGGAGUUUGUCUCCAAAACACCGAGCCCAGUGAGAGAAGCCAGAGCCACAGACCAGAUGCCCUGCAAGACCUUCCCAGACCACCAUGUCUCAGACAGCCCCGGCUGCCUCCUGCCUGCCCUGCACCAGCCCUGAGCCAUCGCCUCAUUUUAUUCUCAUUCUAACUUGGAUAAUGGGGAUCUGCCUCUUACCAACUGUGACCUUAGGCACAGGAUCAGCCCCAAAUUGAGCCUCAUUUUGUCCAUCUGUAAAAUGAGGAUGGCACUAGAGCCCCGUCUAGGGUGAAUGUGAAGGUCAGAGCCUGCACAAGCUCAUAGCCACCAUGCAUGACUUGGGACUUCUGAAUGGGACCAAGAAAUAUCUAACAUGCGAUUUCCUGGAAAGCACAUAGGAGUUUGGCCCAGAUCCAGACUUGGCAGUUGCUCAAUCAAGAAGAAGCUGCCAGGCACAGUGGCUUGUGCCUGUAACCCCAGAACUUUGAGAGGCUGAGCGGGGUGGAUCACCCAAAGUCAGGAGUUCAAGACCAGCCUGGCCAACAUGGUGAAAUGCCGUCUCUACUAAAAAUACAAAAAUUCGCUGGGUGUGGUGGUGGGUGCUUGUAAUCCUAGCUACUCAGGAGGCUGAGACAGGAGAAUCCCUUGAACCCAGAGGCAGAGGUUACAGUGAGCCGAGAUCGUGCCACUGCCCUCCAGCCUGGGCAACAAAGAGUGAAACUCUUGUCUAAAAAAAAAAAGAAGAAGAAGAAGGAGAAGGAGAAGGAGCGGGAGAAGGAGAAGAAGAAGAAGAAGAAGAAGCCUCAGUGAAGUGCUCCAGCAUCUUCACCCCCUUGGUCACUUGCUCAUCUCCUUGAUGAACAAAAGCGGCCCCAGAUCAGAGCCAUCGAGCACCUGCAGCCAGCAAGGUUGGCUGGUUUUCAUUGUGUGCAUUUUUAAGGCGUCUUCUAUUUAUAGAAAGGAUUGUGGUCUUGCAUUUGUAGCAGCGAUGAAAGCUUUACUUUUUGGCAAAAUGUGUGCAAGUUGUUUAGAAGUGAGUCUGUUUGAAAAAAAAAAUUAAAUGAAUAAUGAUUUAGGAGGUGAGUUUGUUUCCUAGGGCUGCUGUGAUGAAGUGCCA